UCUAACUGACCCUCUUAAGUUUUGGAUUAAUUCAUUUUGGUCCCUAAAGCUUCAAAUUUAUUAAUUUUAACCUCUAAAGUCUGGAAUUAAUUAAUUUUGCCCCCUUAAAGUUUUGAAUCCUAAGGCCCCUAAAGUUUAAAACUAAAUAAAAUAUGCAAAAUUGGUGAUUUUCUUUCUUAAAUUUUGUUACUAAAGACUCUUUUAAGAGAUAUAAUAUUCAGAAGUGAAUUAAUUAAAGCAACAUGUUGCCAAAACUACCUCUUUUGUAGAAAUUAAUUAACUUAGAAUAUGAAAAGGUGCUUGUGCAUGUGUUAUUCAUGGGAAUAUUGAUCGGCCCAAAGGAAGUCAAUGUAUAGCCGAAUACAUGUGCACCUAUGGUGAUAAAUAUGUGGCGAUUAUUUGGUUUAAUGUGUAAUCAAUAAAUCGGUCCAAAAAAUGUUUAUUGAUUGACACAUUAUUUUAUUGUCAAUGUUUGAUCACUACGCUAAGAGUACCACUUACAAGUCAAUAUUUCCAUCCAAAGACCAGAUAUUGAUGUUGUACUAGGUAUCUUGUGAUGAACCCUACCACUAUUUGAGAUUAUUAUUAUUUUCAUAUUAAAUAUAUUCAUGUGAGCUAUUCAUAAUAAUUGUUCUCUAAUUCAGUUUCAGGUUCUGCUGCUAAUAUCUCUGCUAGCAUCAAUUCAAUUCCAAUGCUUAAUGACACAAAUUUCAGGACAUAGCAAGAGACGUGAUGAUUGUUCUCGGAGUCAUGGACCUAGACCUUGCUUUAUGGGUCGAUCAAACUGUUGCACUUACUGAUAAGAGUAUUUCUGAUGACAAGAUGGAAAUGUACG
This 835-nucleotide long non-coding RNA is filed under the name Olea europaea subsp. europaea. Lineage: Eukaryota; Viridiplantae; Streptophyta; Magnoliopsida; Lamiales; Oleaceae. The record is from RNAcentral.